This 492-nucleotide ribosomal RNA is filed under the name uncultured bacterium. Its description in RNAcentral is "partial 16S ribosomal RNA". It matches the Rfam family "Bacterial small subunit ribosomal RNA", at positions 29 to 507 of the family's 1533-position model. The record is from RNAcentral.
AGUGAACGCUGGCGGUAGGCCUAACACAUGCAAGUCGAACGGCAGCACAGUAAGAGCUUGCUCUUACGGGUGGCGAGUGGCGGACGGGUGAGGAAUACAUCGGAAUCUACUUUUUCGUGGGGGAUAACGUAGGGAAACUUACGCUAAUACCGCAUACGACCUACGGGUGAAAGCAGGGGAUCUUCGGACCUUGCGCGAUUGAAUGAGCCGAUGUCGGAUUAGCUAGUUGGCGGGGUAAAGGCCCACCAAGGCGACGAUCCGUAGCUGGUCUGAGAGGAUGAUCAGCCACACUGGAACUGAGACACGGUCCAGAGUCCUACGGGAGGCAGCAGUGGGGAAUAUUGGACAAUGGGCGCAAGCCUGAUCCAGCCAUACCGCGUGGGUGAAGAAGGCCUUCGGGUUGUGAAGCCCUUUUGUUGGGAAAGAAAAGCAGCAGGUUAAUACCACGCUGUUCUGACGGUACCCAAAGAAUAAGCACCGGCUAACUUCGUG